This 492-nucleotide ribosomal RNA is filed under the name uncultured bacterium. RNAcentral describes it as "partial 16S ribosomal RNA". It matches the Rfam family "Bacterial small subunit ribosomal RNA", at positions 29 to 507 of the family's 1533-position model. The record is from RNAcentral.
AGUGAACGCUGGCGGUAGGCCUAACACAUGCAAGUCGAACGGCAGCACAGUAAGAGCUUGCUCUUACGGGUGGCGAGUGGCGGACGGGUGAGGAAUACAUCGGAAUCUACUUUUUCGUGGGGGAUAACGUAGGGAAACUUACGCUAAUACCGCAUACGACCUACGGGUGAAAGCAGGGGAUCUUCGGACCUUGCGCGAUUGAAUGAGCCGAUGUCGGAUUAGCUAGUUGGCGGGGUAAAGGCCCACCAAGGCGACGCUCCGUAGCUGGUCUGAGAGGAUGAUCAGCCACACUGGAACUGAGACACGGUCCAGACUCCUACGGGAGGCAGCAGUGGGGAAUAUUGGACAAUGGGCGCAAGCCUGAUCCAGCCAUACCGCGUGGGUGAAGAAGGCCUUCAGGUUGUAAAGCCCUUUUGUUGGGAAAGAAAAGCAGCAGGUUAAUACCCCGCUGUUCUGACGGUACCCAAAGAAUAAGCACCGGCUAACUUCGUG